AUUGAACGCUGGCGGCAGGCCUAACACAUGCAAGUCGAACGGUAAAAGGAAGCUGCUUGCUGCUUUGUGGACGAGUGGCGGCCGGGUGAGUAAUGUCUGGGAAACUGCCUGAUGGAGGGGGAAAACUACUGGAAACGGAAGCUAAAACCGCAUAACGUCGCAAGACCAAAGAGGGGGACCUUCGGGCCUCUUGCCUUCGGAUUGGCCCAGAUGGGAUUAGCUAGUAGGUGGGGUAACGGCUCACCUAGGCGACGAUCCCUAGCUGGUCUGAGAGGAUGACCAGCCACACUGGAACUGAGACACGGUCCAGACUCCUACGGGAGGCAGCAGUGGGGAAUAUUGCACAAUGGGCGCAAGCCUGAUGCAGCCAUGCCGCGUGUAUGAAGAAGGCCUUCGGGUUGUAAAGUACUUUCAGCGGGGAGGAAGGGAGUAAAGUUAAUACCUUUGCUCAUUGACGUUACCCGCAGAAGAAGCACCGGCUAACUCCGUG
This 490-nucleotide ribosomal RNA is filed under the name uncultured bacterium. Its description in RNAcentral is "partial 16S ribosomal RNA". It matches the Rfam family "Bacterial small subunit ribosomal RNA", at positions 30 to 507 of the family's 1533-position model. The record is from RNAcentral.